ACCUGGUCAGCUGCCAAGCUGUGCAGCGGAAGACAGAGGGGCCAGCACACACGGGCCCUCUCUCCCUCAGGCAGGUCUCCAUCCCACUGCCAGCUCUAGACCAGCAGGCCUGGGAGGAAAGAAGGUAGGCCAUCAGCUGGGGUGCAGAUGGAACACCUGCCAGUGGCUGAGAGUGUUCCUGAAAAUAAUCGAAUGAAGAGGCAAUACCUUUCCCCAGGGCUUGUUUCACAGAGGGCACCCAGGUUGGCACGAACACGUGCACUCAGUGACUGUGCCUGCUCUACACUUGGGCUUUUUCACCUCAAGGUUUACGCUAUGACUCAGCACAAGGAAUCGGUUCCUUCCUGCCUUCACCAGGAGGCUCAUGAAUUCACCGUCAUGCAGAGAUUUUAAAGACAACACCACUUCUGCUGGAUCAAAACCGGGAUUUUAAGUGAGCCCGCAGCAGACCCUUGGGAUUUUCUGGAACAGCGAUCCUAGUCUGCUCGGUAGGCAGCGGGAGUCAGCUCCAUCCUUCUGCAAGCGGACUCCCGUCAGAGACCAUCGCCCUCUGCCUGCAUGCUGUGCCCUGCGCCGCCCUGACCACCACUCAUGGAAAGAGAUGAUGAACUUAUUAAAGCCAACAACCGAAUCCUGUAUGUCAAACAGUAAUUCUAGUUGCCACAGAACCCAGUCUAGCAGUUGAGGUCCCAGAAUGGAAGGAAUCUGUCAGUAACAUUUUUGGCUCAUCAGGUCUUACAAAAUGUGUGAGAAGCAGAAAAGAAUGUUUUUCAAAGGCUGACAAAGGCUAGCCUGUGUGAAGUUUCAAUGUGGUUGAAGUUCACAAUGCUUUCUCCUCGUUUCCCACAAGGGUCCCCAUUAAAACAAUCUAGUGUUUCUCAGUACAUUUGUUGGCCUUGUCACAAAGUGAAAAGAACCAAGUCUGUGUGAACUUUCCUUUUCUGACCUCAUUUUCCUCUUUUGUUCGAGGACGGCUGUGUUUUUUCAGCUUCUGUGACUUACAGGAGACUCUGUGCCCAAUUUUCAAAGGAUCUGGGCAGUUGCACAGCCUGGUCUGUAGCUGUAAUCAAUUUAGCCAUGCCUCCAAAAGCAAAAAAUAGCUUAAAAGAAGCCAUCCUAGAGGGAAGAUGUGUGCUCCCUUCCCCUCGACCGGACGGAGUAUCAUCCCUCUCCUUUAUAUGGAGUUCCAAAAGUACUUUGGGCUGAAAGCCCAAAAAGAGGGCUAUAUCAUAGCGUUAAAAAUGGAACAUCAGAUGGAGAGGGUUCUCCCCAGGUUCCAUUCUCCCUCCUCUCGCUAGGCCCAGGCAAAACUCUACUUAAAUCAUCCCUGAAAGCUGGGGUCCAAUAGGCCUGAAGAGGGAGCUUCCCUGUUCCAUGCUAUUUUGGGAAUGUAAUCACAACAAUCAAUCAUCCACCAUUCCAAAUUUCCAGGGUCUAGAUGGGGUGUUUCACAGCGCUUGCCAUGGCCCACAUUUUAGCUGGCUGAUUGCAGGGGGGGCUUUUAAUGAGAAGCUAGAGUGUUUUAUCUAAUGAACCACCUGUCUCACAUGAUGAAGAUAAAUUUCUCUCUGGAGGCAGGACAGUGGACUAGAUGACACUUCCCAGUUUCUUUCAACAUAGAGAUGUUAUGACUCCCUUGUGAGUAUUCCUCUAGAGGAUGCUGCAUUCUUAACCCUUAAUUCCAACUUAAAUGGAUGCUCUCAGCUUCAUUUUUCCAUUGACUGGAUGUAAUUAGGGCAGUCACCAGUAAUGACACCUAACCUGGUCUUUUCCAUUAAGAGGCAACCUAAUAAAGAUGGGGCCAGACAUCAGCAGCCUUCAUAAAGUGGUGGAGGAAUCCUGAAGCCUAGACUGCUGAGCCUCUGCAGACUGUGCGGGGUGCGGGGCGGGAAAAUGAAGAAGGGAGAGAAGACAAUAGAACAGGAGGGGAGGGGAGGAGAGAGGAGAAAAGAGAAGAGAAGAGGAGAAAAGAGAAGAGAAGAGAAGAGAAGGUGGGUGCAGGGAGAGGUAAAGCUGGGCAGAAAAUGAGAUGGGGAACAAGUUGCGUUGCAUCCUAAACAGCAAGGGUCAAGGGGGGAAAGAGAGAAGGAGGAGGCUGAAGAAUAAGAAAAAAUGAUGGGCUGAUGGGAUUGAGAGAGGAAGGAAGAACAAGGAGCCUAAGGCUUGAGCCAGAAGUCAAUGGUCCAUUUUGGCCCUUUAGAGGACAUGAAGGAAGUGCCAAGGGAUCCCACCCUGCUGUGUCCAUCUUCAAGUGGUAUAAGGAUUGCCUGUCCCCUGGGUCCCCUUUGGGAUGCUGGGCCCUUUCACUUAGGUGAGUUAAUAGUCUGACAGGCCACAGUGGCAGCCUGGCAGUGCUGUGUCACAUGGCAGUGAUGCAGGUUAGUUUUAAGAGACAAAUCACCGAGGGCCUGGCUAACUGUGGAAUCUUUGAAAUGGCUGGUGGGUAGAGGGGGUGUGUGAGGAGGGAGGAAGCAGGAUGGGAAAGGGUAAACAGCUGCUGCUAUGACUUCCCUGGGGUCAGACUGGGGGGAAGAGCCAUGACUCAGCCUUUUGCUUUCAGAUAUGCCAAGUCCUGAACCACAGGGGACAUCAACUGGAGUCCCUGGAUGUGCUCUGUCCAACUUCCAGUUCCAUGGGGCGAGGGGAGUGGAUGGGGUCCACUUCUGAUGAGCUGGAACUUCCCAAGGCACGUGGGCGAGAGGGAGCACCGAGUGCAUGGAGAGAGGGUGGCUGGGACGGGGUGAACACGCCUAACUCUAGAGAUUCGGACCCAAAUCUGGACCGAGACUCCUCCACACCAGUCCUCCCACCUCUUGUUUUCAAGAAACAUUUUCCAGCUGGAAAACCUUAGAAGCUGGAAAAACAAGUAUCCCAAGGGGAAAAGUAUGAGGUGUUCUUAACUAAAGAAGCAUAAAAUAAAAUAAAACACAAAUGAAAGUGACAAAUGGAGGAGGGAAGCCUG
Molecule: long non-coding RNA, 2962 nt
Filed under: Homo sapiens (human)
Lineage: Eukaryota; Metazoa; Chordata; Mammalia; Primates; Hominidae
Description: HSALNT0015583
Source: RNAcentral